CACAGGAUAAAAUGUUUAUUUUCCAUAAAUACUAGUCCAUGCCUGUCUCUCACUAUCAAACAAAUCUAACAGCUGGAAUUUAAAACAAGUGUGUGCUGUUUUGAUGAAGUAUGUUCCUGGGGCUCUUGUGAACUUAAUCUGUGUAUUAUUAUAACACACUGGAUGUUCCGUCUAGGACCUUAAAAACACAAGAGUUAUAUAAGCUUAGACAUUAAAAAAAAGGAAAGUAAAUACAGUCCACUCCACCUCGAAUCUUCCAAGCAUUUUAAGGAUAAGGAUAUUGUCAAUGGCUGAGUAAAAACAGCAUGGGUAAUUGUUUUUUACUAGCAUUUCAAGUGCAAAAAUAUCUUUGGUGGGUUUUCAAGAAUGACUAUAAAGUCAAUCUAACUUCCACUCUUAAUGAGUCCCACACAAGAAAUUAACCGUGUGUUUGGGCUACUUGAAGUUCUUGCUGAAGCAGCUGCAGCUCCUAAAUGUUAACUCCACGGGGCUCCCACCCAUUGUAAUGUGCUCUGAUGCGGCUAUCUUUCCUACUGCAGCCUGUUUACUCUUUGGACAGCUGCACCUCCUCCUGAUCUGCUGACCUGAAGGCAAUAAAAUUUUUUUCUUACGGGUCAGUGUAAUAUUAGAGGAGAGAAACGAUGCUUAGAAGGUCGGUUACCGCUGCUGUAGCCACAGGUUAUGAGCGACGGCUGAGCAAGUAGAGGAGGGGGAAGAAGGGGCAUUCUUGUUUCUACCCCUAAAUCCCGCCUUCCUCUGAGACCAGUCCGGAGCAGAAGUCCUUACUGCGGCGGUGGGCACGCAAUACCCGUCAUGUCGCCUGGGCCUUAUAGGAGGAAUUUUUAACAUACUCAUGUUCCUUCGAAUAGCUCUCCUGGAUUCUGAUCUGUUAAACCAGAUGCGUUGUUAAGUGGUAACCUGGUUUUGCCCUCUCUUCGGAAUCUGCCUUGAGUUAUUUUUGCUUAAAAUCAAAAAUGGUGCCCUAGGAGAUCUUUCCUUUUUUCCCUGGCUCAGCUGGGAAAAAGAGGGCGGGAUCCUUGCCGCUCACACUGAGGAAGAUCCCUCGUCGGCCGCUACUCGCUUCGGAGGCCCUGGACCACCGGUCCGCCUUAGCCCUGCCCCGGGAUGGGCGCCUUCUGAAAUCCACCUCGAAUUCUGUCUCUCCGCGUGGAGCUUCGUGGACGGGUUAGACGUGAGGGCCCGGGCGGGGGAGCCUCUUUCGUCCCCCUUGCGGCACGACCCCACCUGAGGUCGUCCUUCCCUUGCCCACCCGGGCGGACCAGGCAACGGGUACCGCGACCCUCCCGCACUUCCGGCCGGUUUCGAGUGCGCAAAGGGUUCCUCGGAGCUGGGGGAUGCUCGCUAUCCACAGAGAAAGACCGCAAGGAACCCUUGCUGAACCCUCUGUCUCUGCGGAGGGCGGGGCGGGGCUGUGAGACGGGUGCGCUGGGCGCGCAAACGCGGCCCCGGGGCGGGGUUUCGCGCUGCAAGGGGCCAAAUCGCCGAGUCCAAGUUGAGCAACCAGCGAGGAGAGAGACACCGCCCCUGGCUGGGGCAGGGGGGGAGGGGGGUCCUCUUCUCUCAUCCGAUUGGUGAGCCGAGGGAGCCUAUCACCGUCGGCUGCCUCUGCCGGAGCCGUUUGCUGGUUUCCAUUCAUUGGCCCCGAAGCCGCACUUGGAUUUCCAUCUUUUGUGGCGCGAAAAUAACCCUUUGCUCCUUCACAUUGGUUUUGUUUUUGUUGAGGGGGGGUGGGGGGUGAAAUUGGGCUCUCCUCUUCUUGCUCUCAUUUUUCCUGCCCUUUAACUGUGUGCCCCCAGCUCCAACUCCCAAGGAGGAAAGAGAGGUAACUAGGGAAGAGUGGAAAAUAGUUGUGCGUGUGGAUCCCGCCCCUUGGGCUGACCGCGUGGUGCCCACAGAGUCCUUUCCCUUCCCCCACCGUCCAGCUCCCGGAGGUCGUAGGUUUGCGCCAUACUCAGCAGCUGGAGUCACCUCGUUUCCCUGCUUGUAUCCAACAUCUUAGAAUUUACCCAUCUUUUUUAGUUAAAACGACAAAAUACGCUUCCAGCUGCCUGAUUUUUCUGGGGCUUCUAGAGAAAUCGACUUAUUCUGCACCCUCCUUCCCUAACCCCCUUUGUGGUCCACAGGGUUGUUUUAAGCAAAACCAAACAAUCCCUCCAAAAAAAGCAAACGAAAAAUUCCGAGUAAAAUCAACUGUGGCGAGACCACGUUUUCGUUGAAGAUUCUCUACGACCAAAGAACUGAGACCGACCUUGAAAUAAGCGAUUUCUGCAGCUGAAACGUUCUAAUUUUGCUGACGUUUGGUGGAGACAGUGAGAAAAAAUAAAUACAAAUUUGCCUUGGAGAAGCACAAAACAAACGAAUAAUCGUAUUUAAUUUGAUUAAAUGAAAAAGCUGACAGCUACAGUGGUGUAUUCUAUCUAGGUAGUGGUGUCUUCGGUGCACUUGUAAUUUUAUGGAUAAGUUGCUACUGGUCUCAGAAAUAAAGAUCAGAACUCUGACCAUGGAAGAAAAGAAGGAAGUAUAAAUUUAUUUGAUAUAUCUAAUUUCAUAACAGACUUUCCAAUUCUUUGAUUAUCUGAGGAAAAGGAAAAGUACCAUUUGGAAAUGUAACAAUAACUUGUUCACAGAUAAUUGAAUUACUCACUUUUUAAGCCAUGACAAAAUACUUGAUUUGGUUUAAAACUAAACAAUAAAUUCCCAGUACAUAUUUUAAAACUUUGAGAGAAUUGGCUUGAAUCAGUAAGUUCAAUUUUUUUUCCAUAUUUUUAACUCCUCGCUGGUAGUCAAGUUAUAUCAAACUCUUAAGUUCAUAUGGAAAAACUAUUUAAUUCUGUACUCGCCUUUUAGUCUCUAAAAAUCAACUAAUUGAAGUGACAUAAAUUACCAUGUAUCAUAAUGCUAAAACAAAGUUUUUUGAGCAGCUUUUUAAAACUGACUUAAUUAGUAAAGAAAAGCUGUUUUAAAAUAUACACAUUUUGUUUACAUUUUGUAUAAUUCAGCUACAUUUCACUAAUGUGGUCAGUCAAUAAUGUAUUUUUGAAGUUUUCAUGUAAAAUUAUUUCUCAGUAACAUCACAGUAACUUACAAAUAGUUUAUUUUGAGUUGAGCUAAUUAAAGCCUAGAGACUGAAUUUAUGGUGUAAAUACUGAAGAUUACAGAGUUAAUAAUUUAUAUAACCUUUAAACAUGUAAGAAAUUUAAAAUGUGAACUCAUGAUUAUUUGUAAAAUGAUUCUAGAUUGGGAUUUUUAUAUUGUAUAAUUUUAAUACUUUAAAAAUGAUACAGUAGAAAAAAUAAAAAUUUUUUGAGUAAAUUUUAAUUGUAAGAAAAGUUUAAAAAUUAAUCUGGAAAAGCCAAAACUCUAAAACCUGAGCUAUUUUCAAAUGUUUUCUCAAAUUCAAAGAUUUACAUAACCAGUAUUUUUCUUUAAGAAGACUUUGUUCCGGUUGGAGAAAUUGAUGUUUUUCAUUUUCAACUACUAAGUCAGGAAUGAGAAUUUUCAUCUAUCUGGUAAACUUUAUACAUAAUUGUUUAAGUAGUAGAUAAGCAUGAUUCCUUUAAUGCAAUUAUAUCCUCUGUUUUACUGCUUCACAGGGUGAAACUUAUUACUCCUCUAGGAGGGGGAAGGGAUGAGACCUUUAGUGAAAAGACUCUUUGGUAAUUGGUGUGUACAUAAGUAUUUUCAGACCAACCAUAGAGAACAAAGAAGACAGGCAUUUGUUUGUGGGGGCAGGGGUAUGGGGAGGCUGAGAAGACUUGGAUAUUUAAACUUGUUUCUUGGUUGCAACUCAUUUAUCCUGCAGGUCUCCUUGCUAAGGGUGGAGGGAAGAGAGAGAAAUGUAUUAACUAAUGGAGUAAAAAGGGACAGUAAUCCAAGCAUGAAAUCCCACCAGAGAGAACAAUAAGAACCUCCUCUCCCCACUAAAAUAUUCAGAAAGCAAAGCACAUGCUGAGGUUAUAACUAGUUCUCAGCAUUUCCUCACACAUACAUUUUAAAGAUAUCCUAGAUUACUAUUUUCAUAUUGGAACCGUUUUUUUUCUUGAGCAUUUCUUUUCCACAAUUCUGUCCCCCCCAAAAAAAGGGGGGGCAACUAAAAUUUCCUUAAUGAAACAGCAGAUUUCAUGACAGAUGUAUACAAAAAAUAAGCUCCUUUAGAGAUAAACUGAGGAAUCCUUCACAUUGUCUGUAAGUGAAAAGUUAAUUUUUAGAUUUAAUAAGGCAGAGUAUAUCUGUAAAUUCCUUACUUGCAGGAAUAAUGGUAGAUCAUUACCAUUUCCACUUUGACUCUUUAAAAUGCAUUCCAUCUUGUGUUCAGUUUUCAUUUUGGUCCUGAGCCUCUCUAGCAUGAUGACCUAAGCUUUAAAGAUAGAAGCAGCAGGCUACAUGAGAAUUUUUGCUGUUAUUUCAGAAUAUCUCAACUAAAAUUCAUAAGAAUCUGAGAACAUAAGAUACAGCAGUUAAAAAAAAAAAAAACCUAAUCUGAAAUUUUAUAGUGUAAAUCUAUAAAUAUUUGUCCUAAAAUCCAUGCCUAACAAAUGUCUGUUGAAACAUUUACUUCUUUUUUGCAGUAGGUUGCUUAAAAAUAUAAAAGUUGGUAGUAUUUUUUUUUUUUUUUGCUUUUCUCAAAUGACACAUUUACUGAUCAAUUAUUUUUAAAUUGACAGUGCUAGUACCUUCUCAAAGGCAACAUUUUGCUUCAACUGAGGUUUAAUAUCAAUAAUUGAAUCUUAUAAUUUUCCCUUUUUACUUAAUUUUUGGGAAGGGGGAUGUCUUAUGCCAGUCAUUGAAGUAAUUUUUCUAUUUUUAAGUUAUUUUUCUUUGUAAAAUAUUCAUAUUUUAUUUGUAAUCUAAAAGUGUUUUUUUAGCAUUUUCCAAGAGUUAGAGUUUAAGUGUAACUAAAUCUUACUGUGUAACAUAUUAUUUAAGACUUUUUAAAUGUGUAUAAUUUGAUUCAAAGAAAUAUGAAAUAUAUUACUAUUGAAUAUUUUCCACUUAGCUAACAUAACUGAAUGGUUCUUCUUUCUAAUUCUAAUCUAUUCUAACUCUAAUCUACAUAUUAAAAUUUUAAAUCAUGAAAAGGAUACUAACAAAAAUCAUAAAAAACAAAAAAAAAUCAAUUUUGUUACAUCAGAAAAAAGGCAUGGUUUCUGUUAUACUGUUAACAUUUUGUUCUGGGAUAAUUAAAUUCAGAAUAAUGUUACCAUCUUUUGUUUUCGUUUGUUGAAAAUUGUCUAGAAUUUUGCUCCUUGAUUCUAUUACCAUAUUUCCUAUGGUAAUUUAUUUGCUCCUACGUUUCUUUACUACCAAGAUUCAAAUGCCAUUUUUGGUUUUGAUUGAAAUGAAUGGCCAUCUAUAAAAAGCCAAAUUGAAAAUAAACUAAUUUUUUUUAAAUUUGGUGUAGAACACUAUAAAUGCUUAUCUCUGGCAACCGUAGGAAUACAUUCAAAUUUUAUUUUAAGUCACAGCCAAUACUGUGACUUUUUAAAGCAAAUUAAAUUGGAUUUUGUUUCAAAUAUCAAUAAACAACAAAAAAAAAGUUGAGUAAAUGUUUUAAUCUAGUAAAGUAGACAAUAGGGUUAAAGGUAACAUUACUCUGUCAAAAACAACAAAUCUUCCAGCUGAGGGCAGUUUUGUCGGGUAUGGAAGGUAUGGAAUGCAGUCAGUGUGCAGUUGGACAGGAGAACAUAUGUACAUACUCCUGCUGAGAAGCCCUUUGUAAAAAUUUGUGGAAUAAAACAAGAUAGCACUUGUGUUCAAAUUCUGAGGUUGCAGGUUAAAACAAACAAGAUAAGCACUAUUUUAUUAAAUUUAUUUCUUAACUCUCAGAGUACUUCAAUAUGAUGUUUUUAAGAAUGGGAAGAGAAGAUUAACAAUACAGAUUGAACUGGUAUUAGGAUGCUAUUAGUACAUCAACAUUAGAAUUUAAAUAAUACAAAUAUGUUUGGAAUUUUCUAUUUUUCUUUGCCUUGUUUUCUAUUAAAAAAAAUUACAUAUAUUUAAAAUACCCAAUAGUGUUAUUAAAACAUACAUGUAAUGAAUUUUAAAACUUGUGGGAUAAUGUCACAAGUUUGGAAAAUUCUAAGUGUUAAGUUUACUCACAAAGUCAUUAUCACAGAUGCUUUCUAUUGGACUGUCCUGCCACUUCUCUUUGUGCAUGUGAUCCUUAUAUAUAGUUUCUUUUAACCAAACUCAGUAGCAUUAUUUGAGAAAAGUUCCCUGUUUUAAAAAGAGUCAAAGAUAUGAUUUGUGCUAUUGUGAAAACAAUAAAGCAUUUUGAAACCUAAAUACAGAGAGGAAACUCAGAUUUUAAGUAAAAGCUGGGUCCUAUUAUUUACUGUAGUUUCUAUAUUUAUUGAGAGAGAGGGAAAUGGAUUAACUGUAAUGUUGCUUCAGGGCUGACCACUAAUAAAGUUUUUAGUGGCUAUAAAUAAAAAAUGUUGUUUCAGUCAAUGAUAGCCCCUUCCUCUUACUAUUCUUAGAAGAGAUUCUCUUCCCUUGAUUAUUAAAUAUCCCUAAAUUAUUUCAUUACAAAGUUGAGGGAAAGUCAUGUUCAUUAGGAUAGCCAAAUAUUUUUAACACCUUGAGCUUCUGACAGAUGAAGAAUGACCAUUGCUUUUUAAAUAUACAAAACUCUUUUUAUUGUAAUGUGAUACAUUUAUUUUCUUUCCUUACCUCUACCAAUGUUCUGUUAAUAUGGUAAUAAGCUGAAUUAAUAUGGAAAUAAAUAUAUUACAUCCAAAGUGCAGAAAAGAUGUAUAAGCAAGAAGAUCAAAAUCCAUGUAUCUUGAUUAAGCUAAAAAUUAAAGUAUCCUCCCACAACCAAAUCCAGUGAUUAAGUUUAUAGUUCUUAUUUACUAAAGUCUAUAACAGUUAAAAAUUUGAACGUAAUUGUUGGCUUACAGUUUCUACUAAUUAUCAUGGAAAGAAUUUCUUCAAUAGUGUGUGGUUUCUUUUAAUGUAACUUUAUAUGUGAUAUAAAAACCAGUUACUUUGUUACUUAAAUGUUUUUUCAUAUUUCCUUGCAAUAAAUUUGAGAACAUGAAGGUUAAGCUGAAGACUAUUAGUUAUUUUAUUAAAAUCUAUUAUCUGUGGGUUAAAAUGUGGCAUUUUCCUUCUGAUUCUUCCUUGAAAGCUUGAAAUAUAACCUAUUAAAAACCAAGAGAUGUAAUGGCAUUUAUAAGCUCAUAAAAAUAUUUCUAAUUUUUAAAAAGAUAAUCUUACAGAUAAUAUAAGGAUAUUAGAGAAUUUGAUUUAUAUAUAUGUAACUAAUUAGAAGUUGGACUUUUAAAUAGAAAUUUAUUUUGAAAGCAAUACGAUUCAAGCAAAUUGCCAUGGAAUACAAUCACCAAAGUGAUUAUGAAAUGUAAAACGAGGUUAUAGACUCUGAAUUUUUAAUUCUAUUAUGGAUAUGCCAAUAUAAACAUGCAAAUUAUUGUUUUCAAAAGCCCAGGCUAGAGUGGAUGUAAAGCCAUGAAAGCAGGCUAUGGUGUAAAGGGAAGUCAGUGUUUAAAGCACUUGUAACAGGAAAAAGCUGUGUGAACCAGAAGAUAUCUAGAUUCACUAUAGUAAAUAGCAAGUUACAAUUUCUCUAAAAUGAAAUUUUGAUAGUUAAGAUUUUGUCUUUGGAAAUAUAAACUGUUAGCACUUUUUUAUUUAAUGGAAAGAGAAAGGGAUUGAGACAAUGCAUAUUAGAAUUUAGUACUAAAAGACUCUAAGUGGGAAAGCAGUCCUUUAUGUAUAUAAUCUAUUCCAAAAGUCUUGGAUAGUUUGUAUAGAGAAGUUUAAGCUUUUCAUUUGUGUAUUUAAUUGUACAGAGUAUCUUCUCUUUUAUAUGUCUUUAGGCUGAAUGUGCUUCAUUAUAAGACAAUUCUAGAAUUUGAGGACCGAGAGGACUUUUGAGGAUCUGCUAGAUUCCCAUUUUACAUUUGAGGAAACUGAAAUCAAGGCAGGUAGACACACAGCUAGUUCAGUGGCAGGGCUGAGAUGUGUUGAUCACUGAAUAAAACCACAUAACAAUCCUGAGUAGAAGAUAGUUCCUAUUUUUGGUGGAAAGCAAACCAACCAAAGGUGAGGUUUGCCCAGACUCAAUAUCAUUACUUUGUUUAACAGAACAAAAACUGGAGUUCCCAUUGCGGCACAGCAGAAACGAAUCCAACUAGGAACCAUGAGGUUUCAGGUUUGAUCCCUGGCCUCACUCAGUUGGUUAAGGAUCCAGCGUUGCCAUGAGCGUGGUGUAGGUCACAGACGAGGCUCAGAUCUGGCGUUGCUGUGUCUCUGGUGUAGGCUGGCAGCAACAGCUCCUAUUGGACCCCUAGCCUGGGAACCUCCAUAUGCUGCGAGUGCAGCC
This 8368-nucleotide long non-coding RNA is filed under the name Sus scrofa (pig). RNAcentral describes it as "lncRNA (ENSSSCG00000057414.1)". Lineage: Eukaryota; Metazoa; Chordata; Mammalia; Artiodactyla; Suidae. The record is from RNAcentral.